AUAAUACCCCCUCCGUCCGGAAUUACUUGUCAUCAAAAUGGAUGUGUCUAGAACUAAAAUACAUCUAGAUACAUCCAUUUCAAUGACAAGUAUUUUCGGACGGAGGGAGUAGUAG
Triticum aestivum (bread wheat) is the source of this 115-nucleotide non-coding RNA. Lineage: Eukaryota; Viridiplantae; Streptophyta; Magnoliopsida; Poales; Poaceae. The record is from Rfam.